GCAGAUACGUACAUUAUCAUUGGCAAAUACUGUUGACCGACAUGAAAAUAGUACAGUUUAUAAAUAAUGAACAAAUUGUCUUCGGAAACAUCAAAGCCAAGCCUGUCUCAGCUGUUCUUUAUUUCUUUGUGUAUCGGUCAGAACCACCUCCUAACUUCUCCAUCUCCAGUGUUUAUAUACACGCACAGAACUAAUACUAAUACUAAUUUGAUUUGGAGGGGACUUGAGGCGUUGAUGCAGUUCAUAGUAGCUAUGCACCAAAACCUACGAGAUCAAGGGGCAACAACUCUCAGUCUCACCUAAAAGGAAUAUUUUACCACAAGCGAUCGAUUAGCUCAGCACCUGCUGCAGUAGUGCAGUGCCAGUGCACUCACGGCUCACCUACCUGCGCAUGCAGUGCCGGUGCUUGCGAGCAACCGCCGGAGCCGGACGCUGCAAAUAAAGUUCCUCGGCCCCGAUCGACGUCGUCGUCCCAGGUGGAAACAUGACCGAUUACACCCCGCCGCGGAAGGGGCGGAUCUCGGCCGGCGCCGACGCCGGCGCUGACGCACUCGAGGAGGCGUGGCUGGUGUCGGAGCCGCCGGCGAAGAAGCCCCACGGAAGGGCGGCGGCGUGGGGCGUCACCGUCAGCUUCGGCCUCCGCCGCGGCCACUUCAACUCGUUCGUGCUGCUGCUCCUCGUCUUGUUCGUCGUCCUCGCCGUUUCUGUCACCACCACCAAGAACGACAGCGGUGGCGGCCGGGGGCACCGGCGGGGGCCGCGGCGGCCGGGGGCAACGGCGGGGCGCGCAGCGGCGGGCCGGCCGGGGGGGCGUGGUGGGCGGGCGGGCGCGAAAUGCGGCGGGCGCGUGGAGGGGCAGGAGAACGAUGAGGCGGCCGCGGGCGAGCAACGUCGGGUGGGUGUUUUGUUUCAGUACCUCGGCGCCGUGAUCUGCGGCGCCGAGCUCGGCGCCGUGAUCUGUGGCGCCGAGCUCCCUGCCACGUCAGAUCCACGUCAGAUCCACGUUAGAAGGCAGCCAGGC
Molecule: long non-coding RNA, 1021 nt
Filed under: Sorghum bicolor (sorghum)
Lineage: Eukaryota; Viridiplantae; Streptophyta; Magnoliopsida; Poales; Poaceae
Description: long non-coding RNA (SBIC_LNC013406)
Source: RNAcentral